RNAcentral lists this unclassified non-coding RNA (679 nucleotides) under Lasianthus cyaneus. Its description in RNAcentral is "sequence contains ITS1, 5.8S rRNA gene, ITS2". The stretch from base 302 to 457 matches the Rfam family "5.8S ribosomal RNA". Lineage: Eukaryota; Viridiplantae; Streptophyta; Magnoliopsida; Gentianales; Rubiaceae. The record is from RNAcentral.
AACGUGCGAAGGAUCCUAGGCAGAUGAUGCAAAGCAGGGGACCGUUCACCUCGAACAGCAGCAACGCGGGUCCCGGUGCAGUUUGUCAUCCGACGGACGGCUUGAUCGUCGAGUUUUGUCAUAAAAUCAAAACCCGCCGCGGAUCAAACCAAGAAGUAACCACCCUUUCAGCCAGUUCGCUUGAAGAGCCGAUCGCUGAGAACGAGUAGGGUGCGGCCACCACCUUAUAAUAAUCAAAUGGAACUUGGGUGCAAGGCAAAAGUAAUCUCGGCAAUCGAUAUUUUGAGUAUUUAAACAAAAAGGAUCUUGGGAAAGGAAAAUUCAGGUUUUGAAUUGGAGAAGAACGUAGCGAAAUGCGAUACUUGGUGUGAAUUGCAGAAUCCCGUGAACCAUCGAGUUUUUGAACGCAAGUUGCGCCCAAAGCCAUUAGGCCGAGGGCACGUCUGCCUGGGAGUCACGCAUCGCGUCGCCACCCCCUGCCACCCAUCUCUCGAGUUAGGUGCGGGGGUGACGGAUGUUGGCCUCCCGUGAAACCCUUGUGGCGCGGUUGGCCUAAAUGCAAGACUCUGGCUGGCUAGAGGACACAACGAGUGGUGGUUGAAUUCUUUGUCAACUGGAGCGGCGUUGUCGUCCAAGAGCCACGUCGGAAAUCACGACGUUCGUAGACCCAAGUGCCAAA